This 3734-nucleotide long non-coding RNA is filed under the name synthetic construct. RNAcentral's name for it is "ncORF64-AS08". The record is from RNAcentral.
ACUGUUGGGCGCGACGUAGCGUUGCCCCUGUGGUAACUGAGAUGCUAACAGAGGGGUGAGUAUGGAAUCCACGUAUGCAGUCAACCCCUGCAAAGCUUUCAACAGUUCUCCUCCCAUUUUGGUGAACAGUGCAGAUUUGUGAUCAUUGAAGACUGUAAGGAGUACUUGCCAGUCUCCUGGCGCAAUGUGAUGAAAUGUCAGGUCCCUCAGGUUGGUGAGGAUCUUGUCCCAGGUGGCCUUAAUCUUGAGAUCAAUAGCACGUUCAAUCUCUGCAGUGGAUGGUACAGGUGUGGUUUCUGUCUCCAUUUCCUGCUCCUUGAUGAGGUCAUCUCUGAAAUGUUUGAGCUGGCGCGUAGCAUAUGACCUUGCUGUUUUGGUUGGAGCUUUAUCCAGGAACAGAUUGAGGUCGUCAAUAGAGGCCGGAGUAAAGUCAGCCACGUCCUGCUUCCAGGCUUCUAGUUGUUUGUCAGUUUUGAUUUUUGUGAGGUCACGGACCUCGGAUGUGAUAAUCAAGUAUAUUUUGGUUUUAAAUGAUUUAUCAAAUUUGUAUUGUCUGAUCGAUGAUUUGAUAUACUUGAAGGUUGUGAGGCCCUUUUCCACACACUCCAUAUCAUCACAGUCUACAAGUUCUUCUUGAACGGCCAUGAUGGAUUCCAUGGUUUUUAUCAGGUCUUCUCGUCCAGGGAUGUCAGCUAGUCCCAUCAGACUGUUUAGGGAGUUGAAGAAAGUGUUUGAGAGAUGGUUGUGAGAUCUGGCAUGGAUGCUGCUCAGUGCUUCGUUGAUUAAGGAGUUGGUGAUUUGGAUCAGAGACAGAUUCAUAGCUGCGAGUGAGAGCUGCCCCUGUUCUGUUUUUGUGGCAGCUUGCAGCUGGGGGAUUACUUCUGGUCGUUUAAGUGGCUGGAUGUUUUCUGGAAGAUGUCCAGGACAUGCACUGGUUCCCUGAAUGCACGCUCGGGCCAUGUCUCAUCAAUAAUCUUUGACAGCUCUCUGCCAAUGUAAGACAAUUGUUGUUGACUACUGUCAAUUUCUGGAGUUCUGAUUUCUGCCCUCUCCACACAGGCGUUGAUGACUGUGAGCAAGCUGCUUGGACCACGCCAUUAGAUAAUUCAGAACAUUCAAGGCCUCGGUGGGAGUGUAGUCGCUGUCUGAAACCACUCCAAUCUCUAGUACCUGUUGGAGGACAUUCUUGAGCUGAUGGAGAGCCCUGGUCAGGCGAUAUGAUUCUCCAGUAUCAGUGUCUACUAAUGCGGGGAAUGAUGGCACAUGGCCAGGCAGAGUCAGGGAAUUUAAAAGCUGGUCCACGGCAGCCAGGUUGGGGAGGGUGACGCUUGGGAGGGACGUCCCAGACCUGUCUGGCUCGGCCUCCCUGUCGCCCUCGCUCUCGUCCUCCAUAUCAUCGUCCCCAGUAAGAUCGAUGACGUCAUCGUCCAUCGUUAAGUCAAUUAUGUCUGGAGAGGGUAGAGGGUGUGUCAUUUUCUCUGGAGGGGUGCGCCCAGAUUCUUUCCUCUUUUUGUUGGCAUCAGUCCACUCCUCCCCACAGCUCAUAGGAUACCUCUUCCUCUUUGCCUUUGACAUGUAUUUCAAGAGGGAGCCCACUUCUGGGUCAGGCGACGAUGACGCCUGUGGUGACGAACAGAAACUCUGGUUGGUGGUUGGUAGGUCAUAUUCUUCCAAGAUUAUUUUUGAACCAUGUAAAUCAGAAAAGGAGAUGACUUUAUAGUGAGACAUGAUGUAAUUUUUGGGAGAAAUGUGUCCUGGUACAAAAUAUAGGAAGCACGCAGUAUAUUCGCGGGACACGCCCCCGACAUAUUUUAUCAGAGCAUCUGGAUCAGACGUGCUGAGUACGUGGGCUGGACUCUCAGGAAUGUCCUUUAGACAGUGUGGAUCAAACAUGGUGUACCUGCCCCCCUGGAUGAUUAUGGCCCCAGAUUUUUGUCCACAGAUGUACAAAAUAUACUGGAUAGUGUUUGAAUAAUUGGCCGUCAGCAGGUCACGCAGGGACGUGAUGCAGGAGUCAGAAAUGUCAGCUGGCAUGCCAAGCAGGCCAAACAUUUCAGCAGAGGUAUAGAUGAACCCAGACCACUUUCUUGUUUGGACAUAGCAAGGCACGUGGUCCAGCUGGGCAUAUUGGCCAGGAGAUAAGAGGCCCAAUUUUCUCAGAUUGCUGUCUAACUCUGCCCCAAACUUUAAAACUUUAUUAAGGUCGUGGGUCUCGGUUAUGGGGGCUUCAUUGUUGAAGUAGGAAGACAUCAGGUAUAUGAUACAGUUGCUAAGACACUGAGCCCCUGCAUUUUCUCCAAAUUUACAAUCUGCCUGAUUGGUUGAGGCUGUACCUUCGAUGCGAAACCCAGCCAAAGAAGCAGGCAGGGCCAUUAUGAUAGCAGUUUUAUUAUGUCAUGAAUUUUUACAAUAGUGUAGGGGCACUCUGCGUGCUCGGCGGUGUAGGUUUGUUGUGUAAAUAUUUGCCAGUUAACAUCCAGGGGUAUUCUGUCAUAAGUGCUGGAAUAUUUUUUCAGUUGGGGUGGAUGUUUCUCACCACGGGCAGCGUUUUGGCUAAAAAUCUGGGGGUAGGUAGAAUAUAGCAUGGUUAGGUCUUCAUCUGUGGGGUUUCCCCCAGCCUGGGUCAUUGACGUGUCUGUGGGUGGAGCCAUCAGAUUUACUGGAAUUUCUUUAAGAUUUUUGAUAAUUUCCACAUUUCCAGCCGAUGCCGCCUUUAAGAUUGUGGGGGUAAUGAUUUCCUGGGAAAACAGGUCAUGAAACCUUUUUCUUAAGCAACUUGAACAUCCUUUCGAGAGAAGGGAUAGUCCAGAGCUAAUUCUGGAGAGUAUGCCACUGAAGGACUGUUUGAGUUGGUUCCAAGGUUCGGUGUCAAAUUCUAUCCCCAACUCAUGCUGUUUAUAUGCCUCUAGGUCUUGAAGAAGUGAGAGCACCGUGCUGUAUUCCCCCCUGAGUUCACCCUCCAGAUCUGUUAUCUCCAUCAGGAGCUGACUGUGAUCCUUUUCCACCUGGCUAAUCAGACUCUUGAGGGUCUCCAAGUGAACUUCCAGAAUCUGUCCACUGGAGGACAGUAUGGUGAAUUGAUGGGUUAGGGGGUGAUAGUUAUAUUUGGUGUGACAUAAAAUUGAGCCCAGACGUAAGAUGUUUCUGCCCCUCAACAAAAGGUGUUCGACCUUGGGGAUGAUGGCCGUGAUAUAAUCUACAGAAUUGAUAUAGGAUGCGCCAGUGUCUAGUACAAAUAAGUAGAGGAUUAGAUCCUGGGGUAUAGAAAAUGUCUGGUUAAUUUUGUUGAUCUUUUUCUUUAGAUCCAGGGCAUGGUCCAAGAGAUUCUUCAUGGCAGAAGGUUUAUUGGUCCCGUUGAUGAUGUCGAGCAGCUCAAAGUAGAACAUGCCCAGCGGUCUGCGGAUCUCCUGCAGCUGGGGCGUGUCGGUGAUAGCGAAGCUCAGCAGCCAUCUUAUUUGGAAGAGGGCCCGGUUUCUUGACGUCUUUCUGGAAAAUAUCCCCUGUAUGGUGGGACCAACGAUGUGUCUGAUGAAGUACUUGUAAAACAUUUUAUGGGAGACCAUGGCAGGCUCGUAGGAUAAGUCCCCGACAGGCAUUCUUUUACAGUAGGCCGCGACCCUCUCUUCGGAAACCUGGUGCUCGCAAGAGGGUUCCAUCAGUGGAUUCUGGGUGAUGAGGACAAUGCCCCAAUUCCUGUUUACCCAUGAAAAAAAUAAAGUUCUCAUGAUAUCUGA